RNAcentral lists this ribosomal RNA (430 nucleotides) under uncultured Desulfobulbus sp. Its description in RNAcentral is "bacterial SSU rRNA". It matches the Rfam family "Bacterial small subunit ribosomal RNA", at positions 950 to 1382 of the family's 1533-position model. The record is from RNAcentral. Lineage: Bacteria; Pseudomonadati; Thermodesulfobacteriota; Desulfobulbia; Desulfobulbales; Desulfobulbaceae.
UUCGAAGCAACGCGAAGAACCUUACCAGGCUUGACAUGCAGAGAACUUCCAGAGAUGGAUUGGUGCCUUCGGGAACUCUGACACAGGUGCUGCAUGGCUGUCGUCAGCUCGUGUCGUGAGAUGUUGGGUUAAGUCCCGCAACGAGCGCAACCCUUGCCUUUAGUUGCCAGCAGUUCGGCUGGGCACUCUAAAGGGACUGCCGGUGUUAAACCGGAGGAAGGUGGGGAUGACGUCAAGUCCUCAUGGCCUUUAUGACCAGGGCUACACACGUACUACAAUGGCCGAUACAAAGGGCAGCGACACUGCGAGGUGAAGCCAAUCCCGUAAAAUCGGUCUCAGUCCGGAUUGGAGUCUGCAACUCGACUCCAUGAAGUUGGAAUCGCUAGUAAUCGUGGAUCAGCAUGCCACGGUGAAUACGUUCCCGGGCCUU